Molecule: ribosomal RNA, 253 nt
Filed under: uncultured bacterium
Lineage: Bacteria
Description: partial 16S ribosomal RNA
Rfam family: Bacterial small subunit ribosomal RNA
Source: RNAcentral
UACAGAGGUGGCAAGCGUUGUUCGGAAUUACUGGGCGUAAAGGGCGCGUAGGCGGCCCGUCAAGUCCCGUGUGAAAGCCCCCGGCUCAACCGGGGAACUGCACGGGAAACUAGCAGGCUUGAGUUCGGGAGAGGGAAGCGGAAUUUCGGGUGUAGCGGUGAAAUGCGCAGAUAUCCGAAGGAACACCGGUGGCGAAGGCGGCUUCCUGGACCGACACUGACGCUGAGGCGCGAAAGCGUGGGGAGCAAACAGG